This is a long non-coding RNA of Pan troglodytes (chimpanzee), 2214 nucleotides long. RefSeq lists it as uncharacterized. Lineage: Eukaryota; Metazoa; Chordata; Mammalia; Primates; Hominidae. The record is from RefSeq and is a predicted model, not a curated record. The transcript has 4 exons.
UUUUUGAGACAGAGCCCACACUGUUGCCUGGGCUAGAGUGUAGUGGCACGAUCUCAGCUCACUGCAACCUCUGCCUCCCAGAUUCAAGAGAUUCUCCUGCCUCAGUUUCCCAAGCAGCUGGGAUUACAGAUGCCCGCCACCACGCCCAGCUAAUUUUUUGUUUUUUUAGUAGAGACAGGGUUUCACCAUGUUGGCCAGGCUGGUCUCAAACUCCUGACCUCAUGAUUUGCCCGCCUUGGCCUCUUAAAGUGAUGGGAUUACAGGCGUGAGCCACCGCACCCGGCCUAUAUAUAUAUGUACAGGCUCCAAAGCUCCCAUACUAUUUCCUGUUUCCUCUCCCUUGCACUGGUACAUGUUUGAUAUAUACAACUUUUCAAUGUUUUGGCAGCUUCACCUGUGAUUUUUUUUUAAUAAAAAAAGAAAGGGCAGGAGGUGACAGUAAUCAUCACAAUUUAUUUUUUCUUGUCACAUGAAAAGAAACAAAUCUUUAUGAAAUAAUUUAAUACUUUGAAGGGUGACCCAGAAACACAAGUAAUGGCUAUCAAUGCCUCUUCCAGCCAGUGAAGCUACAAGAACAAGGGUGUCCAAUGCUUCUUUUGAAGAAAGCUUUAAAUUCAUGGCACUAUUUUGGAAUAUGAGAAAAAUAUUUUAAAAUGCAUUUCUUGGCCUCUCUUGUUUUGUUUUGUUUCCUUCCUGCUGCUCUUGGGGAGUAUUAAUAAAAGAGAUGGGAUAAGUGAAAAACACAAGACAGAGAACUAUUUAUUUUUUUUCAGUAUUUUUUGCCACUGAAAUGAAAAGAUUAUAAUAAUAAUAGUCACCAUUUAUUAAACUCUGCUAAGCACAUCAUGGCCUGAUUCAAUCCUUUUAGCAUUAUACAAGGAAGUUAUUAUCUCCCCUUUACAGAGAAGGCUGUGGCUGGGGAGGUAGGGGUUGAGAACUGAAUUCUACUCAGUAGAUACCAGUAGCCCCCCCACAACCAAAAAUGUCUCUGGACAUUGCCAAAUGUCUCCUGAGGUUGGGGGAGUGAGAAUCACUGCCCCACAGUUACAUCCUGGCAGAGUUAAGCAAUGAAACAAAAUCACUGGCCAUUAAUAAUACUAUAUGAUUUUCAAUUAAGAGCUUAUUUACACACCAAGUACCUUAGAAACCUGAUCUCAUCCCAUCCUCAUCAAAACCUUAUGGUGUGUACAAGCUGGAAUGAUGCCUAUUUUAUAGGUUAGGGCACUGAGGCACAAAGAGUUUAGUGGAUGCCUAGCUGCACAGUAGUGACCGAUAGAGCAGGCAUUUGAAGCCUGCCCUGCCAUCUUAGUCAGUGCACCGAGAUACGAAGAGCAUUUUUAAAGUGUGCUAGGCUCUUUCAUUUUCAUUACAUGUCCACUGAUAUGGUUUGACUCUGUGUCCCCACUGAAAUCUCAUGUCGAAAUGCAAUCCCCACAUGUUGGAGGAGGGACCUGGUGGGAAGUGAUUGGAUCAUGGAGGUGGAUUUCCCUCCUACUGUUCUCGUGAUAGUGAGUGAGUUCUCAUGAGAUCCAAUGGUUUAAAAGUGUGUGGCACUUCCUCCCUUCACUCUCUCUCUCUCUCCCCGGCCACCAUGUGAGGAUAUGCUUGCUUCCCCUUCACCCUUCUGCCAUGAUUGCAAGUUUCCUGAGGCAUCCCCAGCCAUGCCUCCUGUACAGCCUGUGGAACUUCAGGACCUGGGAGAGAAAAAAGCUACCAGCAACAUUCAGACUGAGAGAGGCCAAAAUACUAAUUCAUAAUUAGCCUGGUACAUAUGAAGGAUCAAAAAGAACAGGACUGUAUGUCUAACCUCUGACAGGCCCUACCACCAUAGUAGAGACUCAGUAUGUAUACUUAAUGAAGGAAUAAUGAAUACAUCAGCAAGAGAAAUAAGAGUGACCAUAUGUUCCUUAAGAGAAGCAAAGAGCAGCUCCUGUUCCUGCUGGAAUGAGUCUCCAUUCCUUGCAACAGAAGUGUCCUAAGUUAUAGCCAGAGGACGGGGGCACAUUGACAAAACAUAAUAACAAGGUACCAUUCCAGCAAGAACAUCUGAAGAAAGAAGCAGUGUUGUUUAUUUUUCCUUCAUCUAUUCUGAAACUAAAAUCCUUAACCAAAUUUAUUUCCAAAGUUUAACCCUUUAAUAAACUGGCCUCUGACUCCACCUGGUGGAGAUACAUAAAUCUAUGAAAAUAAACCAAUCCAAAUGAAGAUUUUAAA